GCCUCUGAAAGAAAAAAAACACAAGCACCAAACAAGGAAAAAUACACAGAAAUGUCCAAUCACCACAUGGAUUGCCUGUAGAUGGACGGGAAGGAUGAAGUGAGUGAUGAUGACACAUAUCGUUGGAGGAAACCCACAGCAUCAUAGCCAGACCGGUCCCAUGAUGCUCCCUGAAUCCACCUGUCAAGCCCAGACUGACGACCCAGGAGACAAGGGAGCGAGAGAGCGGUACUCGUUUUUAUAACCUCUGGCAGGAGUGGAAGACGUAAACAGCUCCCUUACUUAAGAACAAAAAAAAAAAAUAGGGCAACACAGAUAUACUCCACAGACAUCAAAAAUACUGCAGAAGAUCCUCCCCUCCUGGUCAGCGUCAAAUCUAGGACAUGGUGGAGAACUUAUAAAGGACUCCUGCCAUAAAACGCGUUAAU
Molecule: non-coding RNA, 428 nt
Organism: Labrus bergylta (ballan wrasse)
Lineage: Eukaryota; Metazoa; Chordata; Actinopteri; Labriformes; Labridae
Source: RefSeq, a predicted model, not a curated record